CAACCUGCCUUAAGGAUGGGGAUAACAGACGGAAACGACUGCUAAUACCGAAUACGUUCUAAGCAUCGCAUGAUGCAUAGAAGAAAGGGUGGCCUCUACAAGAAAGCUAUCGCCUUAAGAGGGGUUUGCGACUGAUUAGGUAGUUGGUGAGGUAACGGCUCACCAAGCCGACGAUCAGUAGCCGGUCUGAGAGGAUGAACGGCCACACUGGAACUGAGACACGGUCCAG
Molecule: ribosomal RNA, 229 nt
Filed under: uncultured bacterium
Lineage: Bacteria
Description: partial 16S ribosomal RNA
Rfam family: Bacterial small subunit ribosomal RNA
Source: RNAcentral